GAUGAACGCUGGCGGCGUGCCUAAUACAUGCAAGUCGAGCGAACGGACGAGAAGCUUGCUUCUCUGAUGUUAGCGGCGGACGGGUGAGUAACACGUGGAUAACCUACCUAUAAGACUGGGAUAACUUCGGGAAACCGUAGCUAAUACCGGAUAAUAUUUUGAACCGCAUGGUUCAAAAGUGAAAGACGGUCUUGCUGUCACUUAUAGAUGGAUCCGCGCUGCAUUAGCUAGUUGGUAAGGUAACGGCUUACCAAGGCAACGAUGCAUAGCCGACCUGAGAGGGUGAUCGGCCACACUGGAACUGAGACACGGUCCAAACUCCUACGGGAGGCAGCAGUAGGGAAUCUUCCGCAAUGGGCGAAAGCCUGACGGAGCAACGCCGCGUGAGUGAUGAAGGUCUUCGGAUCGUAAAACUCUGUUAUUAGGGAAGAACAUAUGUGUAAGUAACUGUGCACGUCUUGACGGUACCUAAUCAGAAAGCCACGGCUAACUACGUG
This 497-nucleotide ribosomal RNA is filed under the name uncultured bacterium. RNAcentral describes it as "partial 16S ribosomal RNA". It matches the Rfam family "Bacterial small subunit ribosomal RNA", at positions 28 to 507 of the family's 1533-position model. The record is from RNAcentral.